ACCCUCUUAAAAUAUCAGAGGUUUUUUUAAGAACCCCCAUGAAAUUUGGAUCUUCUUUUAUUUCUUUCAUUUUUCUCCUCUUUUAUCAUUUUUAGUUAAAUAACUUUGCCUUUCCUGUUACCUCUUUUUCAUCGUGUUAACCUAUGAGGAAGAAAAUUCAGGCUUCUCGUGCGUCACCACCGUGCCUCCACCAUGCCUUCGCGUGUGUGCCUCCAUUGUGCCUCCAUUAUGCCUUCACCAUUCUUGUUUGAAGUUCAAGAACAAUUGGUUUGAUCUGUUUUGAGCAAGGUUGUAGAGGAGUUUGACAAGUGAACAACAAGCCAAGGUGAAAAGUGGGUCUAUUGUGGCAGAUAAAAGGUAACAUAACUAGUGUUUAACAUAUUCAAGGAUCUUCAUGAAACUUAAAUAGCUAUAAUUCUUAUAACCACACAUUUUUCGAUUAGAAGAAGAAGAAGAUUCAUGUGGUAACGAAAAAGAAGAUGGAAUUCAUAAAAGUCAAGUUAAUGUUAUGGUAUAAAAAGAAGAGGAUCACAUUCAUAAAAAUCUAGCUGCUAAUGAUGAAUCGCAAAGGCAACUUCUAAAGCAGAAAAUGCUCUUUGAUGAAAAGCAAAGAGAAAUUGAGGAAAAGAUGAGUGCCUUCUAUUAAUCAACAUGCAUAGAAAACAUGUGGUGCCCUCAUGGGAUUCCCUUCGAAUUAGGUCCAGUGAAUUUCACCCAGACACGAGAAGAGUAAGGCGUGAAGGAUCCUACAUUUAUGAGGAGUUUAUGCCAACUGGAGAGACAAAUGUUAAGAGUUGUUACUUAAAAUGAAGGAAGAUGAACUAAACUCAAUUAUUGUUGAAAUGAGACAGCAUUAGGAGUUUCAAACCCCAGACAGGACAGUAGUGGGGGUUUUAAACCCCAUGCAGUAGUGGGGGUUUCAAAAACCCCAGAUAGUAAUAGGGGUUCGAAAAUCCUGGGGAGUUAUGAGGGUUCCAGAAACCUUAGGCAGUAGUGGGGGUUCCAGAAACCCCAGGCAGUAGUGGGGGUUUUGAAAACCCCCGAUAAGUUGUGCUUUUCCAGGGGUUGAUAAAAACCCCUGCUAAUCUGUUAGCCACGCUGGUUCUUCCGGAGAAAUUCCAAACCCCUGGUAAAACCAUUAGUGGAGGUUAAAACCCCCAGAAAUGCCAAAUAUAACCCCCACUAAAAUUAAUUUUUUUUGUAGUGUAAGA
Vigna unguiculata (cowpea) is the source of this 1211-nucleotide long non-coding RNA. The record is from RefSeq and is a predicted model, not a curated record. Lineage: Eukaryota; Viridiplantae; Streptophyta; Magnoliopsida; Fabales; Fabaceae.